Molecule: ribosomal RNA, 411 nt
Filed under: uncultured bacterium
Lineage: Bacteria
Description: bacterial SSU rRNA
Rfam family: Bacterial small subunit ribosomal RNA
Source: RNAcentral
GUGCCAGCCGCCGCGGUAAUACGUAGGGUGCAAGCGUUAAUCGGAAUUACUGGGCGUAAAGCGUGCGCAGGCGGCCUAUUAAGUCAGAUGUGAAAUCCCCGAGCUCAACUUGGGAACUGCAUUUGAAACUGAUAGGCUAGAGUGUGUCAGAGGGAGGUAGAAUUCCACGUGUAGCAGUGAAAUGCGUAGAGAUGUGGAGGAAUACCAGUGGCGAAGGCGGCCUCCUGGGAUAACACUGACGCUCAUGUACGAAAGCGUGGGGAGCAAACAGGAUUAGAUACCCUGGUAGUCCACGCCCUAAACGAUGUCAACUGGUUGUUGGGUCUUCAUUGACUUAGUAACGAAGCUAACGCGUGAAGUUGACCGCCUGGGGAGUACGGUCGCAAGAUUAAAACUCAAAGAAAUUGGCGG